Molecule: ribosomal RNA, 467 nt
Filed under: uncultured bacterium
Lineage: Bacteria
Description: partial 16S ribosomal RNA
Rfam family: Bacterial small subunit ribosomal RNA
Source: RNAcentral
ACGAACGCUGGCGGCGUGCUUAACACAUGCAAGUCGAACGGAAAGGCCCUGCUUUUGUGGGGUGCUCGAGUGGCGAACGGGUGAGUAACACGUGAGUAACCUGCCCUUGACUUUGGGAUAACUUCAGGAAACUGGGGCUAAUACCGGAUAGGAGCUCCUGCUGCAUGGUGGGGGUUGGAAAGUUUCGGCGGUUGGGGAUGGACUCGCGGCUUAUCAGCUUGUUGGGGGGGUAGUGGCUUACCAAGGCUUUGACGGGUAGCCGGCCUGAGAGGGUGACCGGGCACAUUGGGACUGAGAUACGGCCCAGACUCCUACGGGAGGCAGCAGUGGGGAAUAUUGCACAAUGGGCGGAAGCCUGAUGCAGCAACGCCGCGUGCGGGAUGACGGCCUUCGGGUUGUAAACCGCUUUCGCCUGUGACGAAGCGUGAGUGACGGUAAUGGGUAAAGAAGCACCGGCUAACUACGUG